CUGGUUGAUCCUGUCAUAUUCUUGUCCCAAAGAUUAAGCCAUGCAAGUCUUAGUACACACUGUUGGUACAGUGAAACUGUGAAUGGCUCAUUCAAUCAGUUGUGGUUCCAUUGAUCGCCCCAAUGUUACUUGGAUAGCUGUGGUAAUCCUAGAGAUAAGAUAUGCCAACAAGUGUUGACCUUCAGGGACACAUGCAUUUAUCAGACCCAAAACCCAUACAGGUUGCUCUCGGGUGCCCUGGACGCUUUUGGUGAAGCUUUGUGCCACUGGCGUCUCAUUCUAAUGUCUGCCCUGUUAACUUUCGAUGGUAGUCUCUGUGCUUACCAUGGUGACCACGGGUAACGGGGGAAUCAGGGUUUGAUUCCGGAGAGGGAACCUGAGAAACGGCUACCACAUCCAAGGAAGGCAGCAGGCAUGCAAAUUACCCACUCCCGACUCGGGUAGGUAGUGACGAAAAAUAACUCUUUCACGGCCCUGUAAUUGGAAUGAAUACACUUUAAAUCCUUUAACGAGGAUCCAUUACUGAUGCUUACAAGCAUU
RNAcentral lists this non-coding RNA (540 nucleotides) under Salmo salar (Atlantic salmon). Its description in RNAcentral is "Eukaryotic small subunit ribosomal RNA". It matches the Rfam family "Eukaryotic small subunit ribosomal RNA", at positions 1 to 574 of the family's 1831-position model. Lineage: Eukaryota; Metazoa; Chordata; Actinopteri; Salmoniformes; Salmonidae. The record is from Rfam by way of RNAcentral.